AAAAAUACAUGACAUUUUAUAAUGCUUGAUUCAAAUAAACCCACAAUAAAACAUCACAGUGUUUCAGGGUGGGUUUGUAGAGAAGUGUGUGUGGUGUCUGUGCAGAGAGGAUGCAGUGGUCCUUUUCUCCCUUACUGUGUGAUAACCCAGCAGCUGGAGAAUUUGCUGGCUGGCAGGGACACAGGGUUCAAGCCUUCCUUGUGCUGAUGCAACCUACUGAAAGUGCUUGCCAGCUUGAUAAUGCUUGUCCUGGUUGUCUUCAUUGUAUUUAUGUACAGCAGAAAUGUCUGGUCUGCCUGCCCAGGGAAUACAGAAUGAAGAUCCUACCUUGAUGAAAUAUCAAGAGGGGACAAUCCACAUUUGAUGGUAUCUCUAAUGACUUCAGAUCUAUAUAAGAUCUUAUGCUCUUCCUGAAUGAAGAGCAGAGAUUAUGAUGAAUUUUUUUCACUGAUAUUUUUG
Molecule: long non-coding RNA, 459 nt
Organism: Athene cunicularia (burrowing owl)
Lineage: Eukaryota; Metazoa; Chordata; Aves; Strigiformes; Strigidae
Exons: 5
Source: RefSeq, a predicted model, not a curated record